GUGCCAGCAGCCGCGGUAAUACGGAGGAUGCAAGCGUUAUCCGGAUUCAUUGGGUUUAAAGGGUGCGUAGGCGGGCUAUUAAGUCAGUGGUGAAAUCCUGCAGCUUAACUGCAGAACUGCCGUUGAUACUGAUAGUCUUGAGUUUGGUUAAGGUAGGCGGAAUGUGUAAUGUAGCGGUGAAAUGCUUAGAUAUUACACAGAACACCAAUUGCGUAGGCAGCUUACUGAGCCGACACUGACGCUGAGGCACGAAAGCGUGGGGAUCAAACAGGAUUAGAUACCCUGGUAGUCCACGCCGUAAACGAUGAUUACUCGCUGUUGGCGAUACACUGUCAGCGGCUAAGCAAAAGCAAUAAGUAAUCCACCUGGGGAGUACGGCCGCAAGGUUGAAACUCAAAGAAAUUGACGG
RNAcentral lists this ribosomal RNA (409 nucleotides) under uncultured bacterium. RNAcentral describes it as "bacterial SSU rRNA". It matches the Rfam family "Bacterial small subunit ribosomal RNA", at positions 505 to 916 of the family's 1533-position model. The record is from RNAcentral.